CCAGACUCCUACGGGAGGCAGCAGUGGGGAAUAUUGGGCAAUGGGCGCAAGCCUGACCCAGCAACGCCGCGUGAAGGAAGAAGGCUUUCGGGUUGUAAACUUCUUUUCUCAGGGACGAAGCAAGUGACGGUACCUGAGGAAUAAGCCACGGCUAACUACGUGCCUGCAGCCGCGGUAAUACGUAGGUGGCAGGCGUUAUCCGGAUUUAUUGGGUUUAAAGGGUGCGUAGGCGGAAUGCCAAGUCAGCGGUAAAAUCGCGGGGCUCAACCUCGCUCCGCCGUUGAAACUGGCGUUCUUGAGUGGGCGAGAAGUAUGCGGAAUGCGUGGUGUAGCGGUGAAAUGCAUAGAUAUCACGCAGAACUCCGAUUGCGAAGGCAGCAUACCGGCGCCCAACUGACGCUCAGGCACGAAAGCGUGGGUAUCGAACAGGAUUAGAUACCCCAGUAGC
This 448-nucleotide ribosomal RNA is filed under the name uncultured bacterium. Its description in RNAcentral is "bacterial SSU rRNA". It matches the Rfam family "Bacterial small subunit ribosomal RNA", at positions 331 to 794 of the family's 1533-position model. The record is from RNAcentral.